GCCUUGUACAGCUACUCAGUUCCAAGGUGUAGUACAGCAAUUACUCAAUUGACAAACUCAAAGGAAUUGACGGACGAAAGAAUAACAGAUCCCCUAACUCCGUGCCAGCAGCCGCGGUAAUACGGAGGAUCCGAGCGUUAUCCGGAUUUAUUGGGUUUAAAGGGUGCGUAGGCGGCUUAUUAAGUCAGGGGUGAAAGACGGUGGCUCAACCAUCGCAGUGCCCUUGAUACUGAUGAGCUUGAAUACACUAGAGGUAGGCGGAAUGUGACAAGUAGCGGUGAAAUGCAUAGAUAUGUCACAAAACACCGAUUGCGAAGGCAGCUUACUAUGGUGUUAUUGACGCUGAGGCACGAAAGCGUGGGGAUCAAACAGGAUUAGAUACCCUGGUAGUCCACGCCCUAAACGAUGAAUACUCGCUGUUAGCGAUACACAGUUAGCGGCUAAGCGAAAGCGUUAAGUAUUCCACCUGGGGAGUACGGUCGCAAGAUUGAAACUCAAAGGAAUUGACGG
Molecule: ribosomal RNA, 510 nt
Filed under: uncultured Sphingobacteriales bacterium
Lineage: Bacteria; Pseudomonadati; Bacteroidota; Sphingobacteriia; Sphingobacteriales
Description: bacterial SSU rRNA
Rfam family: Bacterial small subunit ribosomal RNA
Source: RNAcentral